AUAUAAUUUUUUAAUGCAUCUGCAUUUCACCUCAAGCACAGACUGCUUACACAGUUUUGUAUUCCACCUAAAAAG
This is a long non-coding RNA of Sinocyclocheilus rhinocerous, 75 nucleotides long. RefSeq lists it as uncharacterized. The transcript is spliced from 3 exons. The record is from RefSeq and is a predicted model, not a curated record. NCBI's taxonomy places the organism in Eukaryota, Metazoa, Chordata, Actinopteri, Cypriniformes, Cyprinidae.